This 496-nucleotide ribosomal RNA is filed under the name uncultured bacterium. Its description in RNAcentral is "partial 16S ribosomal RNA". It matches the Rfam family "Bacterial small subunit ribosomal RNA", at positions 28 to 506 of the family's 1533-position model. The record is from RNAcentral.
GAUGAACGCUGGCGGCGUGCCUAAUACAUGCAAGUCGAGCGAACAGACGAGGAGCUUGCUCCUCUGACGUUAGCGGCGGACGGGUGAGUAACACGUGGAUAACCUACCUAUAAGACUGGGAUAACUUCGGGAAACCGGAGCUAAUACCGGAUAAUAUAUUGAACCGCAUGGUUCAAUAGUGAAAGACGGUUUUGCUGUCACUUAUAGAUGGAUCCGCGCCGCAUUAGCUAGUUGGUAAGGUAACGGCUUACCAAGGCGACGAUGCGUAGCCGACCUGAGAGGGUGAGCGGCCACACUGGAACUGAGACACGGUCCAGACUCCUACGGGAGGCAGCAGUAGGGAAUCUUCCGCAAUGGGAGAAAGCCUGACGGAGCAACGCCGCGUGAGUGAUGAAGGUCUUCGGAUCGUAAAACUCUGUUAUUAGGGAAGAACAAAUGUGUAAGUAACUAUGCACGUCUUGACGGUACCUAAUCAGAAAGCCACGGCUAACUACGU